Molecule: ribosomal RNA, 392 nt
Filed under: uncultured bacterium
Lineage: Bacteria
Description: partial 16S ribosomal RNA
Rfam family: Bacterial small subunit ribosomal RNA
Source: RNAcentral
AUACGGCGGAUCCGAGCGUUAUCCGGAUUUAUUGGGUUUAAAGGGUGCGCAGGCGGCCAUUUAAGUCAGCGGUUAAAUCGUGGGGCUCAACCCCAUUCUGCCGUUGAUACUGGGUGGCUUGAUUGCGGUCGAGGUUGGCGGAAUUCGUUGUGUAGCGGUGAAAUGCAUAGAUAUGACGAAGAAACCCGCUUGCGUAGGCAGCUGACCAGACCGCAAAUGACGCUCAUGCACGAAAGUGCGGGGAUCGAACAGGAUUAGAUACCCUGGUAGUCCGCACAGUAAACGAUGAAUACUUGUUUUCGGCGAUAUAAUGUCGGAGGCAAAGCGAAAGCGAUAAGUAUUCCACCUGGGGAGUACGCCGGCAACGGUGAAACUCAAAUGAAUUGGCGGGG